UUGACCUCGGAUCAGGUAGGGAUACCCGCUGAACUUAAGCAUAUCAAUAAGCGGAGGAAAAGAAACCAACAGGGAUUGCCUCAGUAACGGCGAGUGAAGCGGCAAGAGCUCAAAUUUGAAAGCUGGCUCCUUCGGGGUCCGCAUUGUAAUUUGCAGAGGAUGCUUCGGGAGUGGCCCCCAUCUAAGUGCCCUGGAACGGGCCGUCAUAGAGGGUGAGAAUCCCGUCUGGGAUGGGGUGCCCACGCCCGUGUGAAGCUCCUUCGACGAGUCGAGUUGUUUGGGAAUGCAGCUCUAAAUGGGUGGUAAAUUUCAUCUAAAGCUAAAUACUGGCCGGAGACCGAUAGCGCACAAGUAGAGUGAUCGAAAGAUGAAAAGCACUUUGAAAAGAGAGUUAAACAGCACGUGAAAUUGUUGAAAGGGAAGCGCUUGCGACCAGACUCGCUCGCGGGGUUCAGCCGGCCUUCGGGCCGGUGUACUUCCCCGCGGGCGGGCCAGCGUCGGUUUGGGCGGCCGGUCAAAGGCCCUCGGAAUGUAACGCCCCCCGGGGCGUCUUAUAGCCGAGGGUGCCAUGCGGCCAGCCCGGACCGAGGAACGCGCUUCGGCUCGGACGCUGGCAUAAUGGUCGUAAGCGACC
RNAcentral lists this ribosomal RNA (634 nucleotides) under Penicillium levitum. RNAcentral's name for it is "eukaryotic LSU rRNA". It matches the Rfam family "Eukaryotic large subunit ribosomal RNA", at positions 1 to 649 of the family's 3401-position model. The record is from RNAcentral. Lineage: Eukaryota; Fungi; Ascomycota; Eurotiomycetes; Eurotiales; Aspergillaceae.